RNAcentral lists this ribosomal RNA (497 nucleotides) under uncultured bacterium. Its description in RNAcentral is "partial 16S ribosomal RNA". It matches the Rfam family "Bacterial small subunit ribosomal RNA", at positions 28 to 507 of the family's 1533-position model. The record is from RNAcentral.
GAUGAACGCUGGCGGCGUGCCUAAUACAUGCAAGUCGAGCGAACAGACGAGGAGCUUGCUCCUCUGACGUGAGCGGCGGACGGGUGAGUAACACGUGGAUAACCUACCUAUAAGACUGGGAUAACUUCGGGAAACCGGAGCUAAUACCGGAUAAUCUAUUGCACCGCAUGGUUCAAUAGUGAAAGACGGUUUUGCUGUCACUUAUAGAUGGUUCCGCGCCGCAUUAGCUAGUUGGUAAGGUAACGGCUUACCAAGGCAACGAUGCGUAGCCGACCUGAGAGGGGGAUCGGCGACCCGGGAGCGGAGACGCGGUCCAGACGCCUACGAGAGGCAGCAGUAGGGAAUCUUCCGCAAUGGGCGAAAGCCUGACGGAGCAGCGCGGCGUGAGUGAUGAAGGUCUUCGGAUCGUAAAGCUCUGUUAUUAGGGAAGAACAAAUGUGUAAGGAACUGUGCACGGCUUGACGGUACCUAAUCAGAAAGCCACGGCUAACUACGUG